CCGCUUGCGUAAGGGCGCUCUCUCUAGGCUGCUUCCUCCUUUUCGCCCUCGGAUCGUAAACGCUCCGCAGCACUCACUCAGCCGGGGCCAGCGCAAGCCAUCCCGCUCGGAGCCCCCGCCCGGGUUUCCAGCCUGCGGCGGGGGGGGACCUUGCCGCGGAGAACCCCGCCUGCCUCCCCCGCGAAGCACCUCGGCCAGCAGGUGGGUGUCGGGGGCGGGAGCUAGCUGGCUGGCUGCCUCCGGCUCAGCCCCCCGGGCCGCCGCCGCCGCCCACCCCCUCUGCAGCAGGCGCCGCGACCUACCUCGCAAGCAGCCAAGCCGCGUCCGGGAGGCAGGAGGAAUGGCUGCCCGCUGCCGGCUUGUAGACUCCGCCGCCGCCGCUCUCUCAGGCAGCGCCGCCGGUUAGCGCGCCAGCCGGCCUGUGAAACCAGAUGGGAGGCUUCUGUCCCCCCCCAAAAAGACUUUGUCAUGGUGUCAGCGCUGAUGCUGCGGCAGGGCUGGAGCGCCCCCUGCUGGCCGCCUGCUCCCACAGAGACACAGACGGGGAAGCCAACUUCUAAAGCCGCCGGGAGUCAGAGCCUUGGUCCGUCCAGGCAGAGAGAGGCUUGCUCCCAGCCCAGCUCCACAAGGGCUCUUUAAAACAGAUGGCGAGGCUCGAUCCUGCGGUGUUCUGCAUGCAAGUGCCACCGAGCGAGGGGCCGUGCCUCAUUUUGCAGAGCACCAGGGAAGCCGAAACACUCACACGCGGAGCUCUUCUCCAAGCCCUUCCACGGCCCCAAGGGGCUGCCGUGGCAUUUUGCCUUCUUUGUCUCCGCCGCACAAGUGACCACACAGGACCCAGAGCCGCUCAACUUUAGCACCAUUUUAAUGCAGCGUGCAACUCUGCCCCCUUCCCAAGGCACAAGCGGCCAACAGCCGUGUGGCAAGAGGCACCUUUGGCCAUGCAAGGGAGAAGCCCUGGCUGCAGCAGUGCUGGGCAGCAACCGCGGAUUUCUUUAGUGUGUGGGAAGCAGAAAAUUAGACCCAGCCCUACACAGCAUUUAAUAACAUAGCAACAUACAGAGCCGGCACUUAAGGCUAUGUCUGUACUGGGGGGGGGGGCCUGGGGGCUGACCUGGGCAGUAGGCAAUAGCUUGGAGUGGCAAGAUGUGCGGGGAGGGAGCGGUGGACAGGCUUGCAAACACAGGCGGAGUGCAUCUAUGUGUAGGGAACUUCAAAUACACCCACUUCCACGUUAAACAGAACUCUUCAGCAACCAGCUCUUCCUUCCCAUGUCAUGAAGAGAGUCCCAUGUAAUGUGAAAAUCUGCAUUUUCCAACAACCCAAGCAGCGAUCUAGAGAGUAACAGUUUAUUGUGCCUGCAGCCAAUGGGAGCAGUAGUUCAGCCACAGGUUGAGAGAUCCCCUGGACUAGAGAAAGUCUGACUUGCCCAUUUUUAUACGGACACGAAUAUAUUAAUAUACAUAGUCAUCAUAUCCGUAUUCCCCCUUUUUUAUUCUACCUGGGGAGGGUGGGGGGUUCCACAGACAGACAAAAGGCCAAACCUGGGGCCCAGAUGGUGAUGGACUACAGCUCCCAUCUCCCCCAGCUCAAAGGCCAUUGUGGCUGGGGAAGAUGGGAGUUGGAGUGCAACUACAUCGGAGGACCCAAGUUUGAGGAAACCCUGCCAGGAGGCAAGUUCUCCACCGACUCGGAGGUCAUGCUGGAUCCAACCUUUCCUGCAGGACCGGUGGACACCAGACCCACACCUCUGUCAAAAGACAUCAACCAAGGGGUGAAAGCCAAGUAAGGAUGUAGGAAGUGUGGGUGGAGAGCAGAAAAGCCCGGCUGCCUGCAUUUCUGCCGUGCAACAGAAGGCUGUGGAGGGAGUAUCCUAUUGCAAAAGCAACAAAACAGAGCUGGCUGGGGAUUUUGGGAUGCCCGCCACUGGAAAACAAUAGGGCUGCUCCCCCUGGAGAGUCUGCUCAAUCACAUGCAGACGCCAGGAAUGUGGCCCCCCCCCCAGAGCCUCCCCCGCAUACAACAGAGCAGGAAGUUGUUCCCAAAUGUCUUCUGCUCCGACCUCACGCAGGCCUUGCAAUAAGAGGGAGCUUCUGCCUGGAUGUGCCCAAAAGGCGUCUUGGGCCCAUUUUGACUGCGAUGUGCAGAGUUAGCAAGGGCUCUCUACCUGCACAUGGCAAGAGGCACAGCUGAGGAUGCUCACUGCCAUGUUGGGAGACGAAUGGGUGGGUGGGGGGAGAGACGUGAGCUGCAUCAAGCCACAGUGGUGGGGUGGUCGAGGCUCCCCAGACCGGCUCUUUCCACCGGCUAGGAGUGUCUCAUCUUAACAAGUGUGUGUUAAGGGGGGGGGGUGUGCGCCAAAGAAGGCGCAGCUCCGCCGCCCAGGUUAACCACGCAGCUCUACCGGAUGAAUGGCCAGCCUGCAGGCAGCACGGGACAGGAGGGAGAGGAGCAAGCGCAGCUCCAGGAAGCAGAGGCAGCUGUGCCUCCUACGGCACCCCCCUCCCCUCCCCACUCAUCCGAACGGGUUGGCUCUUGCCCUGGUGAAGCAUCAAGCCCCCCCCCCCCCCCCCGACAUCAGAGGCCAGGCUGGGAGAGCAGCCCUGAAGCAGAGGGCACGGAGUCGAGGGCUCCUCUCCUCCCUUGUCUUGCUGCCACCCGCGAGGGGCAGCCCCAUUCCCAGCCCUUUGCAGGAGAGAGUGUGGAACCGCUGAGGGCAACCCAGCAUUGAGGGGGUUACACACAGCCCGGCCUUCCGACAUUGUUCCCAACACAAUGGGGAGGAAGAGGAUGUCGGGGCCCAGAAUAUCGGUGGCUGAGUGCCAGCACAUUCCUUUGGCCACACGUGCGGGGGGGGGAAUUGGGGGGGAGAGAGCGAGCAGCCGUUAACUCCCGAGGCCCCACACUGAGCCCAGGCGCUCCCCACCCACCCUCCGGGCUUCUAUGUGGGGGAAAGAGUAGCCAGCCCGUGCAGGCCGAGUUGCCUGCGGCACGCCAGGCAAGGGAGGGCUCAGCAAGUGGCAGUCCCCAGUGGCACACAGACAGCAGCCAGCCAGGCCUCCUGAAGAAUGCCUCCCCCAAGGAGAGGCUAGCAGACCAUGUGCCCAGCCCAGGGCCCCCCAAGUGACAGGGCUGCACUUCCAGCUGGACCUCCGGACAAGAGACCCCCACCCCAGACACGUUGGCUUCUGCCUGGACGGGUGUUAAAAGGAGGCCCAAAUGAAGGCAUCAAAGAAGAGAACAUCGCAAAGAGGCCCUCCAAACGAGUGUUCCACAGCCUCCACUCCUUCUGCCCCACCUGACAUACCUUCUCCUCCUCCGGAGCAUCCGAGUCCAGACCCCCAAGGGCAUUCUCCACCCGGGCCAGCCGCCCUGAGAGAGACAGCAGCAGGUUGACCACCUUGUCCAGGUCUCCAAUGAAGAGGCGGAAUUUCUCAAACUCGUGGGGCUUGCAAACCCCCUUGACGUGGUUCUCCACUUCCUUGCCCAGCGCCACGUUAGCGCCCAUGUCGUCCUGCAGGCCUCGCUGCGCCUCCCGCAGCACCACCAGCUUCUGGCUGAUGCUCUCGAUCAGUUGCACCUGGAAAGGGGAGAGAGACAUCGUGGCCAAAAUGCAGCUAGCAAGGGCUGGGGAGGGGGAGCCCCCUUCCAAGGGCGUUUUAAACAUCGACACCCAGCUGUGCCAUUCUGGGAGUGGCAAUUCUGUAACUGAGCUGAGCUGUCUGUCCUCUCCCCAAAACCACAGGAUUUCUUUUUCUUUUUCCGGGGGGAGCCAUCAGAAGCCACAGUGACUUCCAUUCAUUUCGAACAUGCAGGACAUAUAGCCGCCCCCACCUGAAAGCAGGUUGAGCUGCUCUUUGUGCAUCCGAUGGGACACUUAAAACAUAUACAAAUA
This is a long non-coding RNA of Hemicordylus capensis (graceful crag lizard), 3895 nucleotides long. RefSeq lists it as uncharacterized. The transcript is spliced from 4 exons. The record is from RefSeq and is a predicted model, not a curated record. NCBI's taxonomy places the organism in Eukaryota, Metazoa, Chordata, Lepidosauria, Squamata, Cordylidae.